CAAUGGCAUUGCCGGGUAGCUAUGUUCGGACGGGAUAACCGCUGAAAGCAUCUAAGCGGGAAGCCCCCCAUAAGAUUAGGUCUCACUAGUGACUCGAUCACUCUGUAGGGCCGUUGAAGACUACAACGUUGAUAGGCUGGGUGUGGAAGUGCAGUAAUGCAUGAAGCUAACCAGUACUAAUUGCCCGUGCGACUUGACCAU
RNAcentral lists this ribosomal RNA (201 nucleotides) under Gammaproteobacteria bacterium. Its description in RNAcentral is "partial 23S ribosomal RNA". It matches the Rfam family "Bacterial large subunit ribosomal RNA", at positions 2730 to 2925 of the family's 2925-position model. Lineage: Bacteria; Pseudomonadati; Pseudomonadota; Gammaproteobacteria. The record is from RNAcentral.